Molecule: ribosomal RNA, 1048 nt
Filed under: Gymnascella stercoraria
Lineage: Eukaryota; Fungi; Ascomycota; Eurotiomycetes; Onygenales; Gymnoascaceae
Description: SSU rRNA
Rfam family: Eukaryotic small subunit ribosomal RNA
Source: RNAcentral
UCUAUACGGGUGAAACUGCGAAUGGCUCAUUAAAUCAGUUAUCGUUUAUUUGAUAGUACCUUACUACAUGGAUACCCGUGGUAAUUCUAGAGCUAAUACAUGCUAAAAACCUCGACUUCGGAAGGGGUGUAUUUAUUAGAUAAAAAACCAAUGCCCUUCGGGGCUCUCUGGUGAUUCAUAAUAACUUCUCGAAUCGCAUGGCCUUGCGCCGGCGAUGGUUCAUUCAAAUUUCUGCCCUAUCAACUUUCGAUGGUAGGAUAGUGGCCUACCAUGGUGGCAACGGGUAACGGGGAAUUAGGGUUCGAUUCCGGAGAGGGAGCCUGAGAAACGGCUACCACAUCCAAGGAAGGCAGCAGGCGCGCAAAUUACCCAAUCCCGAUACGGGGAGGUAGUGACAAUAAAUACUGAUACAGGGCUCUUUUGGGUCUUGUAAUUGGAAUGAGUACAAUCUAAAUCCCUUAACGAGGAACAAUUGGAGGGCAAGUCUGGUGCCAGCAGCCGCGGUAAUUCCAGCUCCAAUAGCGUAUAUUAAAGUUGUUGCAGUUAAAAAGCUCGUAGUUGAACCUUGGGCCUGGCUGGCCGGUCCGCCUCACGGCGUGCACUGGUCCGGCUGGGUCUUUCCUUCUGGGGAGCCCCAUGGCCUUCACUGGCUGUGGGGGGAACCAGGACUUUUACUGUGAAAAAAUUAGAGUGUUCAAAGCAGGCCUUCGCUCGGAUACAUUAGCAUGGAAUAAUAGAAUAGGACGUGUGGUUCUAUUUUGUUGGUUUCUAGGACCACCGUAAUGAUUAAUAGGGAUGGUCGGGGGCGUCAGUAUUCGGCUGUCAGAGGUGAAAUUCUUGGAUUUGCCGAAGACUAACUACUGCGAAAGCAUUCGCCAAGGAUGUUUUCAUUAAUCAGUGAACGAAAGUUAGGGGAUCGAAGACGAUCAGAUACCGUCGUAGUCUUAACCAUAAACUAUGCCGACUAGGGAUCGGACGGUGUUUUUAUGAUGACCCGUUCGGCACCUUACGAGAAAUCAAAGUUUUUGGGUCUGGGGGAGAAGCCACC